GACGAACGCUGGCGGCGUGCUUAACACAUGCAAGUCGAACGGUGAAGGGACCGGUUUUUGCUGGUUCUGGAUGAGUGGCGAACGGGUGAGUAACACGUGAGUAACCUGCCCCCUUCUUCUGGAUAACCGCAUGAAAGUGUGGCUAAUACGGGAUAUUCUGUGCCUGCUGCAUGGUGGGUGUGGGAAAGAUAUUGUUUCGGUGGGGGAUGGGCUCGCGGCCUAUCAGCUUGUUGGUGGGGUGAUGGCCUACCAAGGCGGUGACGGGUAGCCGGCCUGAGAGGGUGGACGGUCACACUGGGACUGAGACACGGCCCAGACUCCUACGGGAGGCAGCAGUGGGGAAUAUUGCACAAUGGGCGCAAGCCUGAUGCAGCGACGCCGCGUGAGGGAUGGAGGCCUUCGGGUUGUAAACCUCUUUCGCCAGUGAAGCAGGCCUGUCCCUUUUGUGGGUGGGUUGACGGUAGCUGGAUAAGAAGCGCCGGCUAACUACGUG
This 493-nucleotide ribosomal RNA is filed under the name uncultured bacterium. RNAcentral describes it as "partial 16S ribosomal RNA". It matches the Rfam family "Bacterial small subunit ribosomal RNA", at positions 28 to 507 of the family's 1533-position model. The record is from RNAcentral.